RNAcentral lists this ribosomal RNA (996 nucleotides) under uncultured bacterium. RNAcentral describes it as "bacterial SSU rRNA". It matches the Rfam family "Bacterial small subunit ribosomal RNA", at positions 356 to 1376 of the family's 1533-position model. The record is from RNAcentral.
GGGGAAUAUUGCACAAUGGAGGAAACUCUGAUGCAGCGAUGCCGCGUGAGGGAAGAAGGUUUUCGGAUUGUAAACCUCUGUGUACAGGGACGAUAAUGACGGUACCUGUUCAGAAAGCACCGGCUAACUACGUGCCAGCAGCCGCGGUAAAACGUAGGGUGCAAGCGUUGUCCGGAAUUACUGGGUGUAAAGGGAGCGCAGGCGGACCGGCAAGUUGGAAGUGAAAACUAUGGGCUCAACCCAUAAAUUGCUUUCAAAACUGCUGGCCUUGAGUAGUGCAGAGGUAGGUGGAAUUCCCGGUGUAGCGGUGGAAUGCGUAGAUAUCGGGAGGAACACCAGUGGCGAAGGCGACCUACUGGGCACCAACUGACGCUGAGGCUCGAAAGCAUGGGUAGCAAACAGGAUUAGAUACCCUGGUAGUCCAUGCCGUAAACGAUGAUUACUAGGUGUUGGAGGAUUGACCCCUUCAGUGCCGCAGUUAACACAAUAAGUAAUCCACCUGGGGAGUACGACCGCAAGGUUGAAACUCAAAGGAAUUGACGGGGGCCCGCACAAGCAGUGGAGUAUGUGGUUUAAUUCGAAGCAACGCGAAGAACCUUACCAGGUCUUGACAUCCGAUGCAUAGUGCAGAGAUGCAUGAAGUCCUUCGGGACAUCGAGACAGGUGGUGCAUGGUUGUCGUCAGCUCGUGUCGUGAGAUGUUGGGUUAAGUCCCGCAACGAGCGCAACCCUUAUUGCCAGUUACUACGCAAGAGGACUCUGGCGAGACUGCCGUUGACAAAACGGAGGAAGGUGGGGAGGACGUCAAAUCAUCAUGCCCUUUAUGACCUGGGCUACACACGUACUACAAUGGCGUUUAACAAAGAGAAGCAAGACCGCGAGGGGGAGCAAAACUCAAAAACAACGUCUCAGUUCAGAUUGCAGGCUGCAACUCGCCUGCAUGAAGUCGGAAUUGCUAGUAAUCGCGGAUCAGCAUGCCGCGGUGAAUACGUUCCCG